UCGAGCGAACGGACGAGAAGCUUGCUUCUCUGAUGUUAGCGGCGGACGGGUGAGUAACACGUGGAUAACCUACCUAUAAGACUGGGAUAACUUCGGGAAACCGGAGCUAAUACCGGAUAAUAUUUUGAACCGCAUGGUUCAAAAGUGAAAGACGGUCUUGCUGUCACUUAUAGAUGGAUCCGCGCUGCAUUAGCUAGUUGGUAAGGUAACGGCUUACCAAGGCAACGAUGCAUAGCCGACCUGAGAGGGUGAUCGGCCACACUGGAACUGAGACACGGUCCAGACUCCUACGGGAGGCAGCAGUAGGGAAUCUUCCGCAAUGGGCGAAAGCCUGACGGAGCAACGCCGCGUGAGUGAUGAAGGUCUUCGGAUCGUAAAACUCUGUUAUUAGGGAAGAACAUAUGUGUAAGUAACUGUGCACAUCUUGACGGUACCUAAUCAGAAAGCCACGGCUAACUACGUGCCAGCAGCCGCGGUAAUACGUAGGUGGCAAGCGUUAUCCGGAAUUAUUGGGCGUAAAGCGCGCGUAGGCGGUUUUUUAAGUCUGAUGUGAAAGCCCACGGCUCAACCGUGGAGGGUCAUUGGAAACUGGAAAACUUGAGUGCAGAAGAGGAAAGUGGAAUUCCAUGUGUAGCGGUGAAAUGCGCAGAGAUAUGGAGGAACACCAGUGGCGAAGGCGACUUUCUGGUCUGUAACUGACGCUGAUGUGCGAAAGCGUGGGGAUCAAAC
This 729-nucleotide ribosomal RNA is filed under the name uncultured Staphylococcus sp. RNAcentral describes it as "bacterial SSU rRNA". It matches the Rfam family "Bacterial small subunit ribosomal RNA", at positions 62 to 773 of the family's 1533-position model. The record is from RNAcentral. Lineage: Bacteria; Bacillati; Bacillota; Bacilli; Caryophanales; Staphylococcaceae.